AUUGAACGCUGGCGGCAUGCCUUACACAUGCAAGUCGAACGGUAACAGGCCGCAAGGUGCUGACGAGCGGCGAACGGGUGAGUAAUGCAUACGAACGUGCCCAGUCGUUGGGGAUAACUACUCGAAAGAGUAACUAAUACCGCAUACGAUCUAAGGAUGAAAGCGGGGGACCGUAAGGCUUCGCGCGAUUGGAGCGGCCGAUGUCAGAUUAGGUAGUUGGUGAGGUAAAGGCUCACCAAGCCAACGAUCUGUAGCUGGUCUGAGAGGAGGACCAGCCACACUGGAACUGAGACACGGCCCAGACUCCUACGGGAGGCAGCAGUGGGGAAUUUUCGACAAUGGGCGCAAGCCUGAUCCAGCAAUGCCGCGUGCAGGAAGAAGGCCUUCGGGUUGUAAACUGCUGUUAUAAGGAACGAAACGGCUCGGGUUAAUACCCGGGGGUAAUGACGGUACCGUAAGAGUAAGCACCGGCUAACUACGUG
Molecule: ribosomal RNA, 482 nt
Filed under: uncultured bacterium
Lineage: Bacteria
Description: partial 16S ribosomal RNA
Rfam family: Bacterial small subunit ribosomal RNA
Source: RNAcentral